This 1808-nucleotide long non-coding RNA is filed under the name Equus caballus (horse). RNAcentral describes it as "lncRNA (ENSECAG00000052665.1)". Lineage: Eukaryota; Metazoa; Chordata; Mammalia; Perissodactyla; Equidae. The record is from RNAcentral.
AUGUAUUCCUAAAAGAUAAUAGAGAAAAAUUUAAAUUGGGGGGGGAAGUGUAGGAGCUUAAAUAGAGGAGCCCAUAAAGGGCUGAAAUAAAAUGCACCUGCUGUAGGCAGGCCAGUGCAGGGUACGCGCGUCUUAAGCAUCCCCUCAGGCUCGUGCCAAUCACGGGGAUGGAUGGAGAGAGCUCCCCUCACCCCAGGAGUGGACAACCGCUCCAGCCGCAGGGUGAGGGAGCCUGUGAGGGACCCAUCAGCCGGCCCUGCAGGGCGGGAUGGAGAAAAGGGAAAAGCACUCCCAUUUUGCCUGUUGACACCUGUUAGCGAGUGGCAGGAUUCUCAGCCGAUGAGGAGGAGGGUUUCCAUGAAGCGACUUGUUUCUGACCCUGUGGGGAGACCCCUGUAUCACAGAGUGGGCCCUGGUCACUGAAAGGUGGGAGGGCAGGCCCAGCCUGCUGGCCCAGCUCCGGCCUUGGCUGCUUCCUCCCGUCCCGACACGUUCCAAAGGGCCCCCAAGGGUCGCCGCUCUGGGCUCCGGGCCACAGACUUCCCUCGGGCAGGAGACCACGGCCCCAGGAAGCAAGAAUCUCUGCGUUCUUAGUCAACAACCUGCUGCUUCCCCUGCACCCUGCCUGUAUUCCUCUCUUGGUCCUCUUUCCCAUUCUUCUGUGUCACCUGGCGGUUUCCUUGCUGUUCAUCUCCAGCUUUCAGAAUCACUCACCAGACAGAGGGGUGCCCACGGGGAAGGGGAGGCCAGCAGCGCUGGGACCGUCCCUGAGCGUCUCGGGGCUCUGCCAGCCAAGCCCUGCCCUGCUGGCCUUCUGGGGAGGGAGGCUGCAGCCCCCAGGGCCACCCGGGAUGUGGGCAUCACUCCCCAGGGCCCAUGUGAUCAGACGUCAGAGAUACCACCCUGUGUCUGCAGCAGCCCCUCAGGUUUCCACCCGGGGCUGGCUCCUCAGGGGAAUCCCAAGCCUGGUGGGGGGAUGCCCACAGAGAGACGGGCCGGACAGCAUUCCCUCCCUGGCCUCUCCUCCUGCCUGUCCUUCCCCAUCUUGUAACUGGCCCAGGAGAAAAAUUCUGGACAGGAACAGCCUGGACACGUGCAUACGCAACUCUCCCUAAGCCUUUCCAACUCCCUGGGGCUCUCCAUGGACCACAGGGACCUCAAGCUAGGGUGACGUGAUAUUCCAGUUCGCCCAGGGCAGGCCUGGCCCACGGCCUAGGUUAAUCACGAUAACGCCUCUGUCACUCUCGGAAGGGCCCGGGUUGGAGCCUCCCCCUCUGCAGCGCACAGUUCUGCCAGCUGUCUUUUCACACCAGACUGACAUGCUGCCUACUCCAGACCGUCCAGUGGCUCCCCACUACUCACAGAAUGAGAUCCUGGGCCCUUUGUGACCCGGCCCCCACCACCCUGCCUGCUUCCGUGCCUGCCACCCUCCUCCCACCAGGGGUCCGGUCACACAGGGCUCACGCAUUGCUGCUCUGACUUGCCCUCCAGCUCAGUCCUGGAACUGACCUCUGUGUCAGCCGCUGGAAAGCUUUUUCUGACUUCCUCAUCCAUCAGAGGUAGCCGCUCCCUCUCUGAGCUCCAGCAGGACCGUGUCUGUAACAGUGACUAGCCUGACUUCCGGCAUGUUGGCCACGGCUCGGACCGCGCACCUGUUAGCGCGCAAGGCCGUGGGGCCGCAGAAAUCCAAGACUUGAGGUUCUCCUGCAGAACUGCCAUCGACAGCUUGAGGCUCCAUCCCCCCUCCCAGGAAAGAUGGCAAAUGUGGGCUUGCUGGCACAAAAGAAGGAAAUUAAAGCCAUUUGGAC